GUAGGGAAUCUUCCACAAUGGACGAAAGUCUGAUGGAGCAACGCCGCGUGAGUGAAGAAGGUCUUCGGAUCGUAAAACUCUGUUGUUAGAGAAGAACGUGCAUGAUAGUAACUGAUCAUGUAAUGACGGUAUCUAACCAGAAAGCCACGGCUAACUACGUGCCAGCAGCCGCGGUAAUACGUAGGUGGCAAGCGUUGUCCGGAUUUAUUGGGCGUAAAGGGAACGCAGGCGGUUUUUUAAGUCUGAUGUGAAAGCCUUCGGCUUAACCGAAGAAUAGCAUUGGAAACUGGAAGACUUGAGUGCAGAAGAGGAGAGUGGAAUUCCAUGUGUAGCGGUGAAAUGCGUAGAUAUAUGGAGGAACACCAGUGGCGAAAGCGGCUUUCUGGACGACAACUGACGCUGAGGCGCGAAAGCCAGGGGAGCAAACGGGAUUAGAAACCCGUGUAGUCC
RNAcentral lists this ribosomal RNA (450 nucleotides) under uncultured bacterium. Its description in RNAcentral is "partial 16S ribosomal RNA". It matches the Rfam family "Bacterial small subunit ribosomal RNA", at positions 354 to 796 of the family's 1533-position model. The record is from RNAcentral.